CCACGCAGUGCACUCGUUACAAAGUGAUAGCUUGCUGUGUGUGUUGGCAGUCAAUGUUAAUAUUUUAUCUCUGUUAGCUCAUUGCACAUUUUAUUGUGUUGCACAUUUUCUUCUGUUCCACUGAAUGCUGUUUUGAUGAGUAACUAAAUUUGUUUUCAGAAUGUAGUUGGGACAGAGCCCAGCAGGCUACACAACAACACAGCUGGAAAACUACCGUUUCUCAAAACGUAUACAAAUAACUUUUAAAAAAUUGGACUGCUAAAUGGAACUUAACUGGCUAAUUUUAGCUAGCUAACAUUAACGUAGCUCUCUGGCUAUUCCUCCAUGGACAUGAGGACCUGAGCUAUAGGACCAUACCUCAGGACUACCUGGCCUGAUGACUCCUUGCUGUCCCAAGUCUACUUGGCCAUGCUGAUGCUCCAGUUUCAACUGUUCUGCAUGCGGCUAUGGAACCCUGACCUGUUCACCGGACAUGCUACCUGUCCCCCCACCAACGAGGCAGAGGAGGAGGACAAGGAUGACUGGUACGAGCAGCUACAACAAGGAGUAUUCAAGGUCCCACAACACAACGUUAUAACAAUAGGAGAUUUGAAUGCCAAGGUUGGAGCCGAUAACACUGACUGUGAACAGGCUAUGGGGCAACACGGCUGUGGUGCCAUCAACAACAACGGUGAAAUGAAAUUAGAUGAUCUCUGCAGGAUGUCAAGGUCCACCGUGGGGCAGAUGUCAACAGCAAUCACUACCUGGUAAAAGCCAAGGUCAGGCUGAAGCUGCGAACCACACACACACACACACAAUACAGAAAGUAUUUGACCUCAACAAUCUCACAUCUCCUGAAAUAAAGCUCUUCCCAUUGUUAGGUUAUGAACAAACAGAGAAAAAACUGACUAGAAAAAUCUCAAACCAAAUUUAUUCAACCCAUGUGGUGCUUCAGCUACAAACACAACAUACAAAUCACACAAGCGCAUCUUUAUACCUUCCAAUUAGUCCUCUCCUUGCAUGUCGAAGAUAGACAGUCAUUAUCUGUUGUUAGAGGAACCUACUGUGUUUCUGCCUGACUCGUAUUGUCAUGGCCCUGCCUAAGUCUAUGACCCUCAUGGGUGUGGAAAUGUGUAUAUACAGUAUGUGUGAGACAGGACUGGAAUCAGAUGUUCUUCAGUGUGGGCCCCUGUGGCCCCCCUUCCAGCACUAUCCCUCAUGGUCCUGGUUCCUCAGCAGCUAGUCUGCCUUAUCAAUAACUAUACUGUUUCCCUUUGCCUCCCUCCUUAGGAACAUUCAUAUUCUACAAUAAUAUAUUUGAACAGAACUUUCUGCACUUACCCUUUUCUCACUCAGUCACUUUUCAUAUCACUCAGUAUCUUCCCACAAAAGUUCCUCUUUACCCUUCCUUGACCACCAACAUAUACAUUUAUUAUACAUGUAAAGUAAUCACUAAGUUAUUGUAAGGUAACAUCAAUAAGUACAUUUCAAGCUAGAAUCCCAACACCAUUUAGCAAAAAAAUCGCUUCAGUCCAUUAGCCAAUGCAAAGGAAGAAGACCAGGGCACAGUUGAAACCUCAUGGAGUAACAUCAAGAAUGCAUACACAGAAAUGCCAAAGAAAGUUAUUGGCUUUAGAAAGAAGAAGGGCAAGAAGUGGUUAACACAAGCUACAUGGAAGAAAAUAGAUGAGACAGCUUGCUAAACUGCUGAGCGCAGAAUCCAGCACCAAGGUGCUGACUGUUCUCUUUUGCAAGAUAUACCACAAGACUGGAGAAAAGGCCUCAUCAUCAAACUGCCAAAAAAAGGAAACCUCAGCUAAUGUGACAACUGGAGAGGUAUAACCCUCCUCUCCAUCCCCAGAAAAAAACUUCUGAAGAGUACUUCUCAAAAGUAUUGACACUGCUGUCGAUGACAAACUCAGACAAGAACAAGCAAGGUUCCGCAAAUGAAGAGGAUAACCGUUGGGAAGUUCUGUGAACACUUUGAAUGAAGCAUCAUCCUUGAUAAUCCUCUUACAGAGUCAUUUCAAGUUAAGUUUGGUGUCAGACAAGGCUGCAUCCUCUCGCCAAUACUUUUCUUGUUACCAUCAACUGGGUAAUGUGUCAAACAACAUCUGACAAUUCCUGAGGAAUCCAGUGGACAGUCUUCUCCCAGAUGAGCUUUCAGUUGAUUAUGUCCCAUAUGGAGCACAAAAGUCUACAGCCUGAAAACUAAGAACAGGUUCUAUAAUAGCAAUGUGAAGUCGCUGCUUUUAUAUGGCUCUGAGUGAUGGAGGGUAGUCAAAAGUGAGAUGAGCAAGGUUGAUGCCUUUCACAAUGCUUGCCUCCGCAAGAUCUCCAACAUGUUCUAGCCAAACAAGAUCUCCAACGAGAACCUGUAUAGGUGUCACAGAUUCCUAGGAGUGGUGGGUGUAGAGUCAGGCGCAGAGAGCAAUACUUCCAAAUUAAUGCGUAUAUUGCGCUUGGUCUAGCCAACAAUCAGGCAAUGACCAUAAAUCAAGUAUGUCUCCAAAACCCAUGAAAAGAACAUACAAAAUACUCAGGCGAAAAACAACUUCACCACAGACAGUAAGGAUAAUCCCACACAAAAGCAGGGGGGCACUAGAAGUUUAAAUAGACUAUUGACGAACCAAAAUAAGCAACAGGUGAAAACAAUCAAGACAAAAACAGAAAAGAAAAAGGGAUUGGUGGCAGCUAGUAGACCGGUGACCACGACCACAGAGCGCCGCCCGAACAGGGUGAGGAGCCACCUUCGGUGGAAGUCGUGACAAUAGGAGGAAGUGCUGUAAGAACAUUGUCCUGGUGUUACGAAUCCCUUUUGGCCCGACAGUCUAGGGGGAUGGUAAUGAGACCCGUAACAUAUCUCAUGCAAAUUAUUAUUGUGACAAAGUAAAAGUGUGAACGAAAUAACCACGACAACAGAAAUCUACCGUCAAACUCCAGGUUUAUUUAUAAACACACGGCAAUGGGGGGGAGCAGGAAAAGGGGCUGAGCUGGACCCAAGGAAAGAAACAAUAAAUAUACAAAAACACCCCUAAGCUAGACUAGCCUACUUUAACAACAGCUAACUAACUAACCAAAAAUACAGUGGGUGGUCCGCCCAGUUCUAACUAGUGUAUUUAACAAAGUUCACCUACGGGUAGUGUAUGCCCAUGGGCGACUUGUCUUGGUUUCCCCUUUUCCCACCAGCAACAAACAAACACCAUAACCAAAAACAAUACUCACAGGUGAUGAUAAAGUGCUAUGGAGGUGCUCAAACAAAAGAGAGGUUAAGACACAAAGCGAGAGUGAAACACAGAGACCUACAGACAUGGCAUUUACAGAGAGAUUGAGCUCUAAAGCAAACAACUGAUGGGGUUUUUAAACCAAGGGAAAGGAACUGUGAUAGGGUAGGAAACAGGAGGAGGUGUGUCUUCUGAUUGAUGAUUGAUUGUUGACUGAUUGGGGAGUGAUGAUGUUCACCUGUGAGGGGAGAAGGAGAGAAAAGAAACACACACAGGAUACACACACAGGAUACUUGUAUCCGUAACACCUGGAAAUAAAGAUAUGCAGGUUGCAUUGGCUUGGUCAUGUGCUGAAGAAGCCGCCAGAAAGGAUCCCCAAAGUUGGACACCAACUGAAAAGCGCAAGAGGCAGGCCAAAAACAACAUGGCGACAGACAGUGGUGGCUGAGCUGGAAGAGAUGGGUCUUUCAUGGGACAGGAUGCAAACUGUGGCCAAAGACAGACUCCAGUGGUUAACGAUUGUUGCAGCCUUAUGUCCCACCCGGGACAAGAGGACUAAGCACCCCCAGCCUCAUCGACGUAACUUACCUCUGUAAGUGGGGUGGCAGAGUAGCCUAGUGGUUAGAGCGUUGGACUAGUAAUCGGAAGGUUGCAAGUUCAAACCCCCAAGCUGACAAGGUACAAAUCUGUCGUUCUGCCCCUGAACAGGCAGUUGACCCACUGUUCCUAGGCUGUCAUUGAAAAUAAGAAUUUGUUCUUAACUGACUUGCCUAGUUAAAUAAAGGUAAAAUAAAAAUCUACCGUAUUUCUUCAUCUUUCCCUGGGGCAUUGUGUCCACUUUUGAUGACGAUCAGGGAAGGAGAAAAUGAUGGGCACCGCAGUCGGGGUGAGGUGGACAUUUCCCUUGUCAUCAUGCUGAAAACACUCAUAUUCAAAGUGAUGGGCACAGGGACGAGAGUGUUGUGUUGGUUUGCAAUGAAUCUACCUGACAUUUUCUACCUACUGCUGCAGCCUGGGCUUUUCAUGAAAUGGGAACCUAUAUAAAAAAAAGAUUAUGUAUUUAAUAGUAGGCUAGUUCUUAGCCAAGUGUAAACAGUAAACCACGAAUAUACUAGUCAGCCGUUAAACAUAAAAUCAAACACGACCAAAAUAAUGGAAUUGCCAUGGAAACGCUUGGGGGAAAGGGCCCUGGUGGCAAGAAACCGAGUUUCCUCAUUGCCCCCCAGAAAUAUUAGCCUACAUUUAGGCUGUUGUUUAUAUGUAACCGACCACCUUGAUUUGGUCAUAUGUAGCAAAAUAUAAAUAUAUAAAUAUUAUAAUUGUAAUAUUAUAAAUACAAGUUCAAUCUGUACUCCAAUGCACAUCUGUUGUGCAUUAUAAAAACAGGAAGAAAGAGGUGGCGAGGGAGGUGUAAAAGACAAAGGGAAAGAGGUAAGAAGAGCAGGGAAGGCAGCUUAUGAUUAAUGAAUCACAGUGAGACCUAAUAUUAUCUCAGUUCAACACAAUUACAUAAUAGUGUCUCUAGUGGUGUCUCCUAACCAGUCCUGGGCUCCCAGUCGGCCCGAAGGUUAUCUUAAGAGCGGGUGAGGUGGCAAUGACGGGACUGGGGGUUGGUAUCCUCUCUCACAUCAAAACAUACCUGCAGACGAGAGACAGAAUACAAAUUUGAAAAAAGGCUUAAACAUGCUAACACUGUCAGUCAUCACAAUCAUCAGGUGAAAUGCAAAACUGAGGCAAGAAAAUGGCCUUGCCGAACCCCCCCCCUUCUAAUUUCCUUAAUUUUGUGGCUAGUCAAAUACUGUGUUAUAUUAAACAGGAGGGAGUAAAAUGUAGGCAAGCAAUAAACAUUUCAGAACAACUACUAGUCGAAUAAGAGAUGGGAGAGAUGACGAAUUUUGGCAAAGAGAUUUAUUUAUUUACUAAUAUACUUGAAACAAAUAGCCAAACCGAAAACUGCAGACAUUAUAAGUGCGAUCACAUAGAUACUGUAUAAAAAAAUCAAAUGAAACGCAGCCUAAUGUGAUCAGAAAUCCCAACUAGCAAGCAAGUCGCAGCAAUGAAGAAUUGAUUGCGAGCACGUUCACGCUGAGGGAGGGAGAAUUCUGACAGGGGGGAGCGUUUCGACACAACACCGUUCCUCAAGUUAUAACGUGUUAGUUGCUUACUGGACCCUGGCAAUCUGUGUGAAAUGUUAGUGGUUAGUUCGUUAGCUAGUUAACGAACCACUAUCUAUUAACUAAUGUUUUCCCUCUGCAGUAUGUGGUUAAUUUUCAGAAUGAGACAAUUAGGUGAAAAUGAGGCGUUGCUUGUUAAACAAGUGGAUUCAGGGAUCAAGUGUAGCUGGAGCCUGGCUUAAUCUGGAUGCUACUAUAGAGGUGAAAGGAACACCACACACACUUUCCCUCUUUCUCACUUUUGCUGACACAUUGUAGAACAGAUGUCCACAGGAAGAAAGUGUACAAUGUAAUAAUGUGCAGUGUAGCCCAAAGAUAUUGUUUUGUUGUGUUGAACUUGACAGUAACACGUGUGAGUGAGGGUACUUUUUUAAAACUUAGUGAACAUUAUUUUUGCACACAUGUUCUACUUUAAGUGCAAAGUUUGUGUGUGUGGUCACAAGUGUUACAUUAUAAAGGCUGUCAUGACUAACUGCAA
Molecule: long non-coding RNA, 5855 nt
Organism: Oncorhynchus tshawytscha (Chinook salmon)
Lineage: Eukaryota; Metazoa; Chordata; Actinopteri; Salmoniformes; Salmonidae
Source: Ensembl